This 478-nucleotide ribosomal RNA is filed under the name uncultured bacterium. RNAcentral describes it as "partial 16S ribosomal RNA". It matches the Rfam family "Bacterial small subunit ribosomal RNA", at positions 28 to 507 of the family's 1533-position model. The record is from RNAcentral.
GAUGAACGCUGGCGGCGUGCUUAACACAUGCAAGUCGAACGAGAAAUGGAGACGGAAACCUUCGGGCGGAAGGCUUCAUUUCGAGUGGCGGACGGGCGAGUAACGCGUGGGUAACCUGCCUCAUACAGGGGGAUAACAGUUGGAAACGACUGUUAAUACCGCAUAAGACCACAGCACCGCAUGGUGCGGGGGUAAAAACUCCGGUGGUAUGAGAUGGACCCGCGUUCGAUUAGCCAGUUGGCGGGGUAACGGCCCACCAAAGCGACGAUCGAUAGCCGAUCUGAGAGGAUGACCGGCCACAUUGGGACUGAGACACGGCCCAAACUCCUACGGGAGGCAGCAGUGGGGAAUAUUGCACAAUGGGGGAAACCCUGAUGCAGCGACGCCGCGUGAGUGAAGAAGUACUUCGGUAUGUAAAGCUCUAUCAGCAGGGAAGAAAAUGACGGUACCUGAGGAAGAAGCCCCGGCUAACUACGUG